CAGUCUGCAACUCGACUGCACGAAGCUGGAAUCGCUAGUAAUCGCAGAUCAGAAUGCUGCGGUGAAUACGUUCCCGGGUCUUGUACACACCGCCGUCACACCAUGGGAGUUGGGAAUGCCCGAAGUCAGUGACCCAACCGUAAGGAGGGAGCUGCCGAAGGCAGAUUCGAUAACUGGGGUGAAGUCGUAACAAGGUACC
RNAcentral lists this ribosomal RNA (199 nucleotides) under uncultured bacterium. Its description in RNAcentral is "partial 16S ribosomal RNA". It matches the Rfam family "Bacterial small subunit ribosomal RNA", at positions 1301 to 1500 of the family's 1533-position model. The record is from RNAcentral.